RNAcentral lists this ribosomal RNA (433 nucleotides) under uncultured bacterium. Its description in RNAcentral is "partial 16S ribosomal RNA". It matches the Rfam family "Bacterial small subunit ribosomal RNA", at positions 29 to 507 of the family's 1533-position model. The record is from RNAcentral.
AACGAACGCUGGCGGCAUGCCUAACACAUGCAAGUCGAACGAGACCUUCGGGUCUAGUGGCGCACGCGUGCGUCACGCGUGGGACCCUGCCCUUAGGUUUGGAAUAACUCCCCGUAGGGGGUGCUAAUACAGGAUAAUGUCUUCGGACCAAAGAUUUAUCGCCUUUGGAUGGGCACGCGUUGGAUUAGCUAGUUGGUAGGGUAAAAGCCUACCACGGCGACGAUCCAUAGCUGGUCUGAGAGGAUGAUCAGCCACACUGAGACUGUGACACGGCCCAGACUCCUACGGGAGGCAGCAGUGGGGAAUAUUGGACAAUGGGCGAAAGCCUGAUCCAGCAAUGCCGCGUGAGUGAUGAAGGCCUUAGGGUUGUAAAGCUCUUUUACCCGGGAUGAUAAUGACAGUACCGGGAGAAUAAGCUCCGGCUAACUCCGUG